AUGAAGAAGGACGAUGAGAUGGAUACCUUGGAGCAAACCGGCCCUUCAUCCAACCAGGCAUCAUCCAGCUCUGCAGUUGCUAAUGAUGUUCAUAUCUCACAUGUUCAUGGACAUGGCCUGUUUGGCGUUGCUUCUCCAAUGACGCCGGGUACUGGUUCUAUAGUCAAGGUGGUGACUCCUUUUAAUCAGAACCCGCAGACUCCUCGAGGCAUUCAGCUCAGCUUUGUGCGGUUGUCUUGUACGAUUACCGGAGGCGCGGCUUCACAAGGUAUCGUCAGACAUGUCUCACAGGCCAGUGCAGCUACACGUUAA
This 312-nucleotide ribosomal RNA is filed under the name Triticum aestivum (bread wheat). RNAcentral's name for it is "partial small subunit ribosomal RNA". Lineage: Eukaryota; Viridiplantae; Streptophyta; Magnoliopsida; Poales; Poaceae. The record is from RNAcentral.